AUCUAACUGACGAGUCUCAAAUAGGACAAAAUGUAUGUCCUGGAU
Molecule: non-coding RNA, 45 nt
Organism: Schistosoma curassoni
Lineage: Eukaryota; Metazoa; Platyhelminthes; Trematoda; Strigeidida; Schistosomatidae
Source: Rfam